Molecule: ribosomal RNA, 465 nt
Filed under: uncultured bacterium
Lineage: Bacteria
Description: partial 16S ribosomal RNA
Rfam family: Bacterial small subunit ribosomal RNA
Source: RNAcentral
GACGAACGCUGGCUGCGUGCUUAACACAUGCAAGUCGAACGGAAAGGCCCUGCUUGCAGGGUACUCGAGUGGCGAACGGGUGAGUAACACGUGGGUGAUCUGCCCUGCACUUCGGGAUAAGCCUGGGAAACUGGGUCUAAUACCGGAUAGGAGCCAUUUUUAGUGUGAUGGUUGGAAAGUUUUUUCGGUGUAGGAUGAGCUCGCGGCCUAUCAGCUUGUUGGUGGGGUAAUGGCCUACCAAGGCGGCGACGGGUAGCCGGCCUGAGAGGGUGGACGGCCACAUUGGGACUGAGAUACGGCCCAGACUCCUACGGGAGGCAGCAGUGGGGAAUAUUGCACAAUGGGCGCAAGCCUGAUGCAGCGACGCCGCGUGGGGGAUGACGGCCUUCGGGUUGUAAACUCCUUUCGCUAGGGACGAAGCUUUUUGUGACGGUACCUAGAUAAGAAGCACCGGCUAACUACGUG